Molecule: ribosomal RNA, 352 nt
Filed under: uncultured bacterium
Lineage: Bacteria
Description: partial 16S ribosomal RNA
Rfam family: Bacterial small subunit ribosomal RNA
Source: RNAcentral
CCUACGGGUGGCAGCAGUAGGGAAUCUUCCACAAUGGGCGAAAGCCUGAUGGAGCAACGCCGCGUGGGUGAAGAAGGUCUUCGGAUCGUAAAACCCUGUUGGUAGAGAAGAAAGUGCGUGAGAGUAACUGUUCACGUGUCGACGGUAUCUAACCAGAAAGCCACGGCGAACUACGUGCCAGCAGCCGCGGUAAUACGUAGGUGGCAAGCGUUAGCCGGCUUUAUGGGGCGUACAGGGAACGCAGGCGGUCUUUUCAGUCUGAUGUGAAAGCCUUCGGCUUAACCGGAGUAGUGCAUUGGAAACUGGGAGACUUGAGUGCAGCAGAGGAGAGUGGAACUCCAUGUGUAGCGGU